This 255-nucleotide ribosomal RNA is filed under the name uncultured bacterium. Its description in RNAcentral is "partial 16S ribosomal RNA". It matches the Rfam family "Bacterial small subunit ribosomal RNA", at positions 524 to 776 of the family's 1533-position model. The record is from RNAcentral.
UACGUAGGGUGCAAGCGUUGUCCGGAAUUAUUGGGCGUAAAGAGCUCGUAGGCGGUUUGUUGCGUCGGCUGUGAAAUCCCGAGGCUCAACCUCGGGUCUGCAGUCGAUACGAGCAAACUAGAGUGUUGCAGGGGAGACUGGAAUUCCUGGUGUAGCGGUGAAAUGCGCAGAUAUCGAGAGGAACACCGGUGGCGAAGGCGGCCUUCUGGACAGUGACUGACGCUGGAGACGCGAAAGCCGUGGGGAGCAAACAGG